UGGUGGAGUGAUUUGUCUGGUUAAUUCCGUUAACGAACGAGACCGCAACCUGCUAAAUAGUGGCGUUCAGCGUCUUUAUGAGUGAAACCGGGGAUGUGGUUCCGCCCUCGAAAGGGGAGGGAUCCUCGCCGGCCGAUCUCUGAUGACUGGAUCGCCGCUUCUUAGAGGGACUAUUGGGGUUACCCACUGGAAGUGCGGCAAUAACA
RNAcentral lists this ribosomal RNA (206 nucleotides) under uncultured eukaryote. RNAcentral's name for it is "partial 18S ribosomal RNA". It matches the Rfam family "Eukaryotic small subunit ribosomal RNA", at positions 1299 to 1458 of the family's 1831-position model. The record is from RNAcentral.